Molecule: ribosomal RNA, 253 nt
Filed under: uncultured bacterium
Lineage: Bacteria
Description: partial 16S ribosomal RNA
Rfam family: Bacterial small subunit ribosomal RNA
Source: RNAcentral
UACGAAGGGGGCUAGCGUUGCUCGGAAUCACUGGGCGUAAAGGGUGCGUAGGUGGUUUUUUAAGUCCGUUGUGAAAUCCCUGGGCUCAACCUGGGAAUGGCAGUGGAUACUGGAAAGCUAGAGUGCGGUAGAGGGUAGUGGAAUUCCCGGUGUAGCAGUGAAAUGCGUAGAGAUCGGGAGGAACACCAGUGGCGAAGGCGGCUACCUGGACCAGCACUGACACUGAGGCACGAAAGCGUGGGGAGCAAACAGG